This 763-nucleotide ribosomal RNA is filed under the name uncultured Streptococcus sp. RNAcentral describes it as "bacterial SSU rRNA". It matches the Rfam family "Bacterial small subunit ribosomal RNA", at positions 28 to 776 of the family's 1533-position model. The record is from RNAcentral. Lineage: Bacteria; Bacillati; Bacillota; Bacilli; Lactobacillales; Streptococcaceae.
GACGAACGCUGGCGGCGUGCCUAAUACAUGCAAGUAGAACGCUGAAGGAGGAGCUUGCUUCUCUGGAUGAGUUGCGAACGGGUGAGUAACGCGUAGGUAACCUGCCUGGUAGCGGGGGAUAACUAUUGGAAACGAUAGCUAAUACCGCAUAAUAGUAGAUGUUGCAUGACAUUUGCUUAAAAGGUGCAAUUGCAUCACUACCAGAUGGACCUGCGUUGUAUUAGCUAGUUGGUGGGGUAACGGCUCACCAAGGCAACGAUACACAGCCGACCUGAGAGGGUGAUCGGCCACACUGGGACUGAGACACGGCCCAGACUCCUACGGGAGGCAGCAGUAGGGAAUCUUCGGCAAUGGACGGAAGUCUGACCGAGCAACGCCGCGUGAGUGAAGAAGGUUUUCGGAUCGUAAAGCUCUGUUGUAAGAGAGGAACGAGUGUGAGAGUGGAAAGUUCACACUGUGACGGUAUCUUACCAGAAAGGGACGGCUAACUACGUGCCAGCAGCCGCGGUAAUACGUAGGUCCCGAGCGUUGUCCGGAUUUAUUGGGCGUAAAGCGAGCGCAGGCGGUUAGAUAAGUCUGAAGUUAAAGGCUGUGGCUUAACCAUAGUACGCUUUGGAAACUGUUUAACUUGAGUGCAAGAGGGGAGAGUGGAAUUCCAUGUGUAGCGGUGAAAUGCGUAGAUAUAUGGGGGAACACCGGUGGCGAAAGCGGCUCUCUGGCUUGUAACUGACGCUGAGGCUCGAAAGCGUGGGGAGCAAACAGG